This 198-nucleotide ribosomal RNA is filed under the name uncultured soil bacterium. RNAcentral describes it as "partial 16S ribosomal RNA". It matches the Rfam family "Bacterial small subunit ribosomal RNA", at positions 26 to 226 of the family's 1533-position model. The record is from RNAcentral.
AGGACGAACGCUGGCGGCGUGCUUAACACAUGCAAGUCGAGCGGUAAGGCCUUUCGGGGUACACGAGCGGCGAACGGGUGAGUAACACGUGGGUGAUCUGCCCUGCACUCUGGGAUAAGCCUGGGAAACUGGGUCUAAUACCGGAUAUGACCUGCUCUCGCAGUGGGGGUGGGUGGAAAGAUUUAUCGGGUGCAGGAU